Molecule: unclassified non-coding RNA, 507 nt
Filed under: Hevea brasiliensis (rubber tree)
Lineage: Eukaryota; Viridiplantae; Streptophyta; Magnoliopsida; Malpighiales; Euphorbiaceae
Source: RNAcentral
GACAAACACAUUAUCCUUUUUGUCAAUCAAUGUAGUAACAUCAUCAGAACCUUCAUUUUCAAGGGAGAAAACGUCUUGCAAUUUGAAUGAUCUAGUAUCAUUUGUAUGUUGUGUCUCAUUCUUCUUGAUCUUCUCAUGGGUAAUUUUGGCUACCGUCUCCAGGACUCCCGUCUCAUCAGCAACCGUACUGUUAAAGCUGCGUCCAUCAGAACCUUCAGGCUGAUCGUUUUCAGAGAACUCUUUCUCGAGAACACGAUCGAACAUUUUGGCAAUAGUGCCAUCAUUAGUUUCGGGAGCGGACGAAUUUACUAAAUUACCGUAAAACCUUGCCCUAAUCUCCUUUUCAGAUCUGGCCGCUAAGGUCAUCCUCCCGGAAUAAACAACCGACAGAAAGAGGAAUAUCCAUGCUCGAAGCUUCUCUCUUCUCACCACAAUCCUCUCCAUUUUUACAGAAGCGAAUGGAAAAUACAGAGAAAAAUUGCAGGAGAAUGGAGAAGAAGAAGAAAA